UACGUAGGGAGCAAGCGUUGUCCGGAGUUACUGGGCGUAAAGCGCAUGCAGGCGGUUGAUUAAGUUUGUGAUGACAGUUCCCGGCUUAACUGGGAAAGUGUUACGAAUACUGGUCAACUUGAGGGCUUCAGAGGGAUGUGGAACUCCGGGUGGAGUGGUGAAAUGCGUAGAUAUCCGGAAGAACACCAAAGGCGAAGGCAGCAUCCUGGGAAGAACCUGACGCUCAGAUGCGAAAGCCAGGGGAG
RNAcentral lists this ribosomal RNA (245 nucleotides) under uncultured bacterium. RNAcentral's name for it is "partial 16S ribosomal RNA". It matches the Rfam family "Bacterial small subunit ribosomal RNA", at positions 524 to 768 of the family's 1533-position model. The record is from RNAcentral.